This 237-nucleotide unclassified non-coding RNA is filed under the name Hevea brasiliensis (rubber tree). The record is from RNAcentral. Lineage: Eukaryota; Viridiplantae; Streptophyta; Magnoliopsida; Malpighiales; Euphorbiaceae.
GUUUGUUCAUUAUCUGGUCACACCCUCACUUUCAGCCCUUUAUCAUCUCUGUUUUCAUUCCCACUGUCUAAGCUAAACUUCAUUCCACUCGGCUUUUAUCUUAAUCUGAUUAUAUUUUAGCUAAGCUCCCUUCACUUCCCGACGAACAUCAGCUCUCAGGCUAAUCAGUCCACUGUCUUAUCUCUAUUUGCCACCCCGUAGCUAUUUCAGUAGAUUUGGCUCCUCACAGGUAAGAGC